Molecule: long non-coding RNA, 252 nt
Filed under: Mus spicilegus (steppe mouse)
Lineage: Eukaryota; Metazoa; Chordata; Mammalia; Rodentia; Muridae
Description: lncRNA (ENSMSIG00000031195.1)
Source: RNAcentral
GACUACUAUGACAGACCUGACCAAAAGUCUCACUCACCGAGCUCUCCGACCACCCCGGGGUGUCCAUACACGGUUCCUCCCAUGACAGCAGCUCCUUGUUCAGAGAGCUCUCCGUAUCACCUUGGGCCAGAAGAGGAUGGCAGGUCCUCUGGAACUGGAGCUACAGAUUUUUGUGAACCACCAUGCAGGUUCUGGAAACCAAACACGUCCUCUGCAAGAACAGCCAGUGCUCCUAACAGUAACAGAAAAUAG